Molecule: ribosomal RNA, 442 nt
Filed under: uncultured bacterium
Lineage: Bacteria
Description: bacterial SSU rRNA
Rfam family: Bacterial small subunit ribosomal RNA
Source: RNAcentral
CAUGCAAGUCGUACGAGAAAGUUGGCUUCGGCCAAUGAGUAAACUGGCGGACGGGUGAGUAACGCGUAGGUGACCUAUCUAUAGGACCGGGAUAACACUGCCAACGCGGUGCUAAUACUGGAUGAAGCGCUUAUGUUUAAGAGAUAUAGGUGUUAAAGGUUGGCUGAGGAAGCUGAUGUCUAUAGGUGGGCCUGCGUUUCAUUAGUUAGUUGGUGAGGUAACGGCUCACCAAGGCGACGAUGGAUAGCCGGCCUGAGAGGGUGGACGGCCACACUGGGACUGAGAUACGGCCCAGACUCCUACGGGAGGCAGCAGUGAGGAAUAUUGCGCAAUGGGCGAAAGCCUGACGCAGCAACGCCGCGUGAGGGAUGAAGUUUUUAGGAACGUAAACCUCUGUCUAUAGGGAAGAAAGGUUAUUAAUUGAAAGGUUAAUAAUUGACGG